GGACUACUGGGGUAUCUAAUCCUGUUCGCUCCCCACGCUUUCGCUCCUCAGCGUCAGUACCGGCCCAGAGUGCCGCCUUCGCUACUGGUGUUCCUCCCGAUAUCUGCGCAUUUCACCGCUACACCGGGAAUUCCACACUCCCCUACCGGACUCGAGUCACGGCAGUUUCACGUGGCGCCUCCACGUUAAGCGUGGAGAUUUCACACGUGACUUGCCGAACCGCCUACGAGCUCUUUACGCCCAAUGAUUCCGGACAACGCUAGGCCCCUACGUAUUACCGCGGCUGCUGGCAC
RNAcentral lists this ribosomal RNA (293 nucleotides) under uncultured bacterium. RNAcentral describes it as "partial 16S ribosomal RNA". The record is from RNAcentral.